UACAGAGGGUGCGAGCGUUAAUCGGAAUUAUUGGGCGUAAAGGGUGCGUAGGCGGGACUAUAAGUCAGAUGUGAAAGCCCUGGGCUUAACCCAGGAAUAGCAUAUGAUACUGUAGUUCUAGAGUGAAGGAGAGGGUAGCGGAAUUCUCGGUGUAGCGGUGAAAUGCGUAGAUAUCGGGAAGAACACCAGUGGCGAAGGCGGCUACCUGGCCUUUUACUGACGCUGAGGCACGAAAGCAUGGGUAGCGAACAGG
This 253-nucleotide ribosomal RNA is filed under the name uncultured bacterium. RNAcentral's name for it is "partial 16S ribosomal RNA". It matches the Rfam family "Bacterial small subunit ribosomal RNA", at positions 524 to 776 of the family's 1533-position model. The record is from RNAcentral.